UGGCCAGAGCACUGUUAUUCUCCUGGGAGAAGAUGAUCUGCAGGAUCCUGCUGCUCAUCAUCCUCUAAUCAUUUGUAAUGAAUGUGGCACAGACCUCAGACAGAGGAGAACCACAGCAUCCCACUGGAGUGGAUGUUUAUAACCAAAACUGACAGAUCCUCUAAAUUUAUUUUUAUCCCCUGUAACCUGAUAGUUGGUUAAAAACUCCCAGUCCUGAUUUCAGUGUUCAACUGUCAGAGUCUCAGGACAAAAUGUUUUCAGGACACGCCCAGAGUGACAAAGAUGCCCUGCGAGAAGUAUUCAGACUUCCACUGUAGACCCAGGACUGAUGACUCGGGUCUCUGUGUUUAUAAAGUGAAGACAGAUUUUGGCUUCAGCUCUGCCAGAUGUCAGCUGUUACUGAAAACAAGGUGUUUGUACAUCUAGUAAUGAAGAUGAUGGUGAUGAGCUGUAAUCCACAACUGAUACACAAAGUCCCACUGUUAAUGGAGGAAACUAUUCUUCACUUUUAUAUCAGGCAUGAUUUUGAAAGGA
This is a long non-coding RNA of Archocentrus centrarchus (flier cichlid), 534 nucleotides long. RefSeq lists it as uncharacterized. The record is from RefSeq and is a predicted model, not a curated record. NCBI's taxonomy places the organism in Eukaryota, Metazoa, Chordata, Actinopteri, Cichliformes, Cichlidae. The transcript is spliced from 4 exons.